AACGCACAUUGCGCCCCUUGGUAUUCCAGGGGGCAUGCCUGUUCGAGCGUCAUUUGUACUCUCAAGCCUUGCUUGGUGUUGGGUGCUUGUCUUUGCUUUGCAAAGACUCACCUCAAAUAUAUUGGCAGCCGAUAAAUUGGUUUGAAGCGCAGCACAAUUGCAAUUUAAGCCCUUUUGUUAGCACCCAAGAGACAUUUUUACACUUUUGACCUCGAAUCAGGUAGGGAUACCCGCUGAACUUAA
This 243-nucleotide unclassified non-coding RNA is filed under the name uncultured fungus. RNAcentral's name for it is "sequence contains ITS2". The stretch from base 1 to 52 matches the Rfam family "5.8S ribosomal RNA", at positions 103 to 154 of the family's 154-position model. The record is from RNAcentral. Lineage: Eukaryota; Fungi.